Molecule: ribosomal RNA, 961 nt
Filed under: [Eubacterium] brachy
Lineage: Bacteria; Bacillati; Bacillota; Clostridia; Peptostreptococcales; Anaerovoracaceae
Description: bacterial SSU rRNA
Rfam family: Bacterial small subunit ribosomal RNA
Source: RNAcentral
GAUGAACGCUGGCGGCGUGCUUAACACAUGCAAGUCGAGCGAGAAGUUUUGAAAAGAUUCUUCGGAUGAAAUUUAAAAUGGAAAGCGGCGGACGGGUGAGUAACGCGUAGGCAACCUGCCCCAUACAAAGGGAUAGCAUUUGGAAACGAAUAUUAAUACCUUAUGAAACUUAACUAGUGCAUGCUAGGUGGGUCAAAGAUUUAUCGGUAUGGGAUGGGCCUGCGUCUGAUUAGCUAGUUGGUGAGGUAACGGCUCACCAAGGCGACGAUCAGUAGCCGACCUGAGAAGGUGAACGGCCACAUUGGCACUGAGACACGGUCCAAACUCCUACGGGAGGCAGCAGUGGGGAAUAUUGCACAAUGGGGGAAACCCUGAUGCAGCAACGCCGCGUGAACGAUGAAGGCCUUUGGGUCGUAAAGUUCUGUUCUAGGUGAUGAAAACUGACAGUAACCUAGGAGAAAGCCCCGGCUAACUCCGUGCCAGCAGCCGCGGUAAUACGGAGGGGGCAAGCGUUAUCCGGAAUUAUUGGGCGUAAAGGGUACGUAGGUGGCCUUUUAAGCGUAGGGUAUAAGGCAAUGGCUCAACCAUUGUUCGCCCUAUGAACUGGAAGGCUUGAGUGCAGGAGAGGAAAGCGGAAUUCCUAGUGUAGCGGUGGAAUGCAUAGAUAUUAGGAGGAACAUCAGCGGCGAAGCGGCUUUCUGGACUGCAACUGACACUGAGGUACGAAAGCGUGGGGAGCAAACAGGAUUAGAUACCCUGGUAGUCCACGCCGUAAACGAUGAGCACUAGGUGUCGGGGUCGUAAGGCUUCGGUGCCGUAGUUAACGCAUUAAGUGCUCCGCCUGGGGAGUACGCACGCAAGUGUGAAACUCAAAGGAAUUGACGGGGACCCGCACAAGCAGCGGAGCAUGUGGUUUAAUUCGAAGCAACGCGAAGAACCUUACCAGGACUUGACAUCCUUC